Long non-coding RNA from Rosa chinensis, 1601 nucleotides. RefSeq lists it as uncharacterized. The transcript has 5 exons. The record is from RefSeq and is a predicted model, not a curated record. Lineage: Eukaryota; Viridiplantae; Streptophyta; Magnoliopsida; Rosales; Rosaceae.
AUUCAUCGUAGACUCUCUUAUACACACCAUCCUGAGCAGAAUGGUUUAGCAGAACGUAAAUAUCGCCAUCCUGUUGAAACAACAUUCACUCUUCUUGCCCAAACAUUAGCAGCAGCACCACUUCAACCAAACCCAAAUCCUCUUUCACCCGAUCUCUCCAAUACGGCCAUCUCGUCAUCUUCACAACCCUUGCCGCCGCCGGCUCUCUCACCAAAUGACGCUCCCCAAAUGCCCCCCCCCCUCCAGCUCGCCAACUCCCAACCCCAUUCUUCCUCCUCUCAACUGGUUUGGUUCGGUGGAGCGGUACAAUGCUCGCCUAGUUGCCAAAUUCUCUAUCAAGAGUCGAGUCUCUCACCGCUAUACUUUUAUUCAUUCUUGAUCUUUUUUGUUACUGGCACGAAUGACAUGAACAUCCAUUGAUCAAAAACUGCUAUAUUUGAAGUCGAUCCGAUCCCAACUUCAAAUUCCCACGAACCCCAGGUUAGUAUUUUUGCAGCUCUGCUCAUGAUUUAUUCUAAAAGAGGCAUCACUCCCUAAUUGAUCAUGGAUUUAUAUGCCGAAUUUCUUAUGAAGUAGGGAAGAGAAACCAGAAAACACAAAUGCAUGUUUUCCAUGAUAGUUUAUUCCAAGCCUUGAAAUAGCAAGUGUUGAAAGCUUCUUGGGUUACUCAUAUCUGUUGUACUUGGACGCUUACUCUUCUAUAAGUAGAAUAAGUAGGUUUCAUUGGAAAUGAGCAUACAAAGAAUCUCUACAUCUUUCCCCCCUUCAACUCCUCAGUGGAAAUAUGAUGUUUUUCUGAGCUUUGGAGGCGAUGACGCUCACUAGGCUUUUAUAGACCACUUAUACACUGCAUUGGAACAUCAAGGAAUCAUAACUUUCAAGGACGAUCCUGAACUUCAAAAAGGGGAAGCUAUUUCUCCAGCACUUUUUGCUGCAAUUGAAGAAUCGAGAUUUGCUCUCAUUGUUCUCUCAUAAAAUUAUGCAUCGUCAACAUGGUGCUUGUAUGAACUUGUGAGGAUUCUUGAAUGCAUGAAAGCAAGAAAAACUGUGCUGCCAAUUUUCUAUGAUGUUGAUCCAUCUGAUGUUCGAAAGCAAACAGGGAGUUUUAGAGAAGCCUUUGCUAAUCAUGAAGAAAGGUUUAGGGAUGACAAAGAGAAAGUGCGAAGGUGGAGAUAUGCUUUAACUGAAGUGGCAAGUUUCUCAGGGUGGAAUUCAAAGCAAUGACUUUUAGGCAGGAAUGGUGUGGCGGCCGGGCUGAAAAGGCAACGGUGGAGUUGCUCUUAUAAUUUUCCUCCUGCUAAAGUCUUCACCCACCAAAUGAUGAAAAUUUAUUUCCCUCUCAAGAUUCAAGUCUCUCACCACUUUGCUUCUCUUCAUUCUUGAUCUUUUCAAACUGCUAUAUUUGAAGUUGAUCUGAUCCCAGCUUCAAAUUCCCACAAAACCCAGUAGGGAAGGCACACCAGGAAACACAAUUGCAUGUUUUCCAUGAUAGUAACUUCCAAGCCUUGAAAUUGUGUUGAAAGCUUCUCGGGUUAUUCAUAUCGAUAGUCCUUGGACAUGUACUCUUCUACAAGUAGGAAAGUAGGUUUCAUCGGAAAUGA